This 462-nucleotide long non-coding RNA is filed under the name Triticum aestivum (bread wheat). RNAcentral's name for it is "long non-coding RNA (TAES_LNC014956)". Lineage: Eukaryota; Viridiplantae; Streptophyta; Magnoliopsida; Poales; Poaceae. The record is from RNAcentral.
UCAGCAUCGACAAACCGGCAUCGUCUUUCUAUAAUAAUAAAACAAAACUGACGGCGUCAGAAAGCUAGUUUUGCUGUUAAAUUCAGGUUCUGAUAUCCGUUCAGUACAAAGUCCAAAAACAAAAACGGACAGCAACCAUCCAUGCAACAGUCAGAUUCCAAAACGCUGAUACAGAUACACAACUGAAACCCGCACACUCCUCAUCAUAAGAACAUAUGAAAAAGCUACAAUCCAAACUAAUACUAGACGACCCUGGAGGCCUGGCCACCAUCAAACAUUCAAGAAAUGCAACCAGGCGACGCCAUUCACGUGUUAAUAAAACAUUCUGCUCCGCGGGCGCACUUUUCUAGCUUCGGUAGAUAACAUCGCCGGUGCAGGCUCACUCCAGCAGCACAAGUAGUUCUACUCCGGGAUCAUCUGUUCAGUGUCCGCAUCUUCACCCGUUUCAAUCUGGGGUUGCUU